Molecule: ribosomal RNA, 253 nt
Filed under: uncultured bacterium
Lineage: Bacteria
Description: partial 16S ribosomal RNA
Rfam family: Bacterial small subunit ribosomal RNA
Source: RNAcentral
GACGUAGGUGGCGAACGUUAUCCGGAAUUAUUGGGCGUAAAGGGUGCGUAGGUGGUCUGAUAAGUUAUCAGUGGCAAAUCGAGGCUCAACCUCGUGGAAACUGGUAAUACUGUCCGACUUGAGUACAGGAGAGGUUAACGGAACUCCACGUAGAGCGGUAAAAUGCGAAGAUAUCGGGAAGAACACCAGUGGCGAAGGCGGCUGCCUGGCCUGUAACUGACGCUGAGACGCGAAAGCGUGGGGAGCGAACCGG